Molecule: ribosomal RNA, 406 nt
Filed under: uncultured bacterium
Lineage: Bacteria
Description: partial 16S ribosomal RNA
Rfam family: Bacterial small subunit ribosomal RNA
Source: RNAcentral
AUUGAACGCUGGCGGCAGGCCUAACACAUGCAAGUCGAACGAGUGGCGGACGGGUGAAUAAUGUCUGGGAAACUGCCUGAUGGAGGGGGAUAACUACUGGAAACUGUAGCUAAUACCGCAUACCAUCGGAUGUGCCCAGAUGGGAUUAGCUUGUUGGUGGGGUAACGGCUCACCAAGGCGACGAGCCCUAGCUGGUCUGAGAGGAUGACCAGCAAAACUGGAACUGAGCAACGGUCCAGACUCCAACGGGAGGCAGAAGUGGGGAAUAUUGUAUAAUGGGAGCAAGCCUGAUGCAGCCAUGCCGGGUGUAUGAAGAAGGCCCUCGGGUUUUAAAGUCCUUUGAGCGGGGAGGCGUUACCCGAAGAAGAAGCACCGGCUAACUCCGUGCCAGCAGCCGCGGUAAUAC